This 497-nucleotide ribosomal RNA is filed under the name uncultured bacterium. RNAcentral describes it as "partial 16S ribosomal RNA". It matches the Rfam family "Bacterial small subunit ribosomal RNA", at positions 28 to 507 of the family's 1533-position model. The record is from RNAcentral.
GAUGAACGCUGGCGGCGUGCCUAAUACAUGCAAGUCGAGCGAACAGACGAGGAGCUUGCUCCUCUGACGUUAGCGGCGGACGGGUGAGUAACACGUGGAUAACCUACCUAUAAGACUGGGAUAACUUCGGGAAACCGGAGCUAAUACCGGAUAAUAUAUUGAACCGCAUGGUUCAAUAGUGAAAGACGGUUUUGCUGUCACUUAUAGAUGGAUCCGCGCCGCAUUAGCUAGUUGGUAAGGUAACGGCUUACCAAGGCAACGAUGCGUAGCCGACCUGAGAGGGUGAUCGGCCACACUGGAACGGAGCCACGGUCCAGACUCCUACGGGAGGCAGCAGUAGGGAAUCUUCCGCAAUGGGCGAAAGCCUGACGGAGCAACGCCGCGUGAGUGAUGAAGGUCUUCGGAUCGUAAAACUCUGUUAUUAGGGAAGAACAAAUGUGUAAGUAACUAUGCACGUCUUGACGGUACCUAAUCAGAAAGCCACGGCUAACUACGUG